UUUCCGUAGGUGGACCUGCGGAAGGAUCAUUAUUGUAUAACCGAGGUGCGAGGGCUGUCGCUGACCCGAAAGGUCGUGCACGCCCGAGUGCCCUCACACACAUCCAUCUCACCCCUAUGUGCACCACCGCGUGGGUCCCCCUUUGGCUUGUUCGGAGGGGGGCUUACGUUUUCACACAAACUUUGUAUGCAGUGUAGAAUGUAUUUUUUGUUUUUGCGAUCACGCAAUCAAUACAACUUUCAACAACGGAUCUCUUGGUUCUG
RNAcentral lists this unclassified non-coding RNA (263 nucleotides) under plant metagenome. RNAcentral's name for it is "partial contains small subunit ribosomal RNA, internal transcribed spacer 1, and 5.8S ribosomal RNA". The record is from RNAcentral.